GAAAUGCGAUAAGUAAUGUGAAUUGCAGAAUUAAGUGAAUCAUCGAAUCUUUGAACGCAUCUUGCGCUCCUUGGUAUUCCUUGGAGCAUGCCUGUUUGAGUAUCAUGAAAUCUUCAAAGUAAAUCUUUUGUUAACUCAAUUGGUUUCUACUUUGGUAUUGGAGGUCUUUGCAGCUUCACACCUGCUCCUCUUUGUUCAUUAGCUGGAUCUCAGUGUUAUGCUUGGUUCCACUCGGCGUGAUAAGUUAUCUAUCGCUGAGGACACUGUAAAAGGUGGCCAAGGUAAAUGCAGAUGAACCGCUUCUAAUAGUCCAUUGACUUGGACAAUACUUUUAUGAUCUGAUCUCAAAUCAGGUAGGACUACCCGCUGAACUUAAGC
This 378-nucleotide unclassified non-coding RNA is filed under the name plant metagenome. RNAcentral describes it as "partial contains 5.8S ribosomal RNA, internal transcribed spacer 2, and large subunit ribosomal RNA". The stretch from base 1 to 105 matches the Rfam family "5.8S ribosomal RNA", at positions 50 to 154 of the family's 154-position model. The record is from RNAcentral.